GUCUACAGCCAUGCCACCCUGAACAAGCCCAAUCCUGUCUGAUCUCAGAAGCUAAAUAGGGUCGGGCCUGGUUAGUACUUGGAUGGGAGACCACCUUAGAAGACCAGGUGCUAUAGGUG
This 119-nucleotide ribosomal RNA is filed under the name Pteropus alecto (black flying fox). The record is from RNAcentral. Lineage: Eukaryota; Metazoa; Chordata; Mammalia; Chiroptera; Pteropodidae.